This 502-nucleotide ribosomal RNA is filed under the name uncultured bacterium. RNAcentral describes it as "bacterial SSU rRNA". It matches the Rfam family "Bacterial small subunit ribosomal RNA", at positions 355 to 874 of the family's 1533-position model. The record is from RNAcentral.
UGGGGAAUCUUGGACAAUGGGCGCAAGCCUGAUCCAGCCAUGCCGCGUGAGCGAUGAAGGCCUUAGGGUUGUAAAGCUCUUCACCGGUGAAGAUAAUGACGGUAGCCGGAGAAGAAGCCCCGGCUAACUCCGUGCCAGCAGCCGCGGUAAUACGGAGGGGGCUAGCGUUGUUCGGAAUUACUGGGCGUAAAGCGCGCGUAGGCGGACUGAUCAGUCAGGGGUGAAAUCCCGGGGCUCAACCCCGGAACUGCCUUUGAUACUGUCAGUCUUGAGUCCGGAAGAGGCGAGUUGGAAUACCGAGUGUAGAGGUGAAAUUCGUAGAUAUUCGGUGGAACACCAGUGGCGAAGGCGACUCGCUGGUCCGGUACUGACGCUGAGGUGCGAAAGCGUGGGGAGCAAACAGGAUUCAGAUACCCUGGUAGUCCACGCCGUAAACGAUGAGUGCUAGUCGUCGGCAGGCAUGCCUGUCGGUGACGCAGCUAACGCAUUAAGCACUCCGCCU